This is a long non-coding RNA of Hibiscus syriacus, 181 nucleotides long. RefSeq lists it as uncharacterized. Lineage: Eukaryota; Viridiplantae; Streptophyta; Magnoliopsida; Malvales; Malvaceae. The transcript has 3 exons. The record is from RefSeq and is a predicted model, not a curated record.
GCCAGCUUACCUAUUUCUUGAAUAAUUACAAAUUUAAUGCAGGAAGAUGAGGAUGAGGACUAAAACAAAAGAGCAUGUUCUAUACUUCAAAAAUUCAUAUAUGCUACUAAAUCCUGCAGAUCGUGAUUACUGGAAGUAAAAGUUUACAAGCAAUGACAAGAAUGAUACAAAAUUUAUUUUA